UAAAUUAUAUUAAUUAAAAAAUAUAUGAAUACAUUCAUGGAAUACUACGAGACAGUUGAUACAAUAAAAUACAUGGAAUACAACGAGAUACAUUAAAACACAAUGGAGAAAAAGAUAAUGAAUAUAAUGAAAUAUAUGAAAAUACAACGACGUAUAUUAAAAUAUAUUAACAGAAAAUUCAAGUUGCCCAUCCUCAAAUACUUUAAAAUAUAUUAACAACAAAUUUAAAUUGCUCUGCCCCAAACUUCAUCAUCUUUAUUCAAAAACAACCCUAAUAUCGUUUCGUCUAGAGUCGAAACGCCACUGUUUCUGAGAUGGACCAAAAAUUCGAGUUCCAUCUUGUUCAUUCCCAACUUUAGCUCCAUGUAGGUCUAGUUGCUGUUGUCAUCCUUCAAAAUUCUCCUCCACCAAAUCUAUCAAUAAAGAUAACUUCUUUACUCAUUUUAAACAAAAACAAAAGGCAAACAAUUAAAUGCAAAACAAACUAGGGCAAAAGAACCACUAAGUUCAAUGCAGUGAAUUUCUUGAAAACAACAUUCAUUUGCCGAAGUAUAUAAUAGAUGAACCCUAAAAUUGGAAUUUGAAAAUCGAAUGUUUCGAUUACCUAACGACGGAGGAGAAUCAACGGCAGAGAUGGGUGAGUUGGUGACUUCGAAUUCAGUUCGACCCGGUACGCACCGGGGGGAGAAAGGAAGAGGCACAAAAAUUAUUUCACUCUAUAUUUGAGAGAAUUGUAAUUGUAUUUAUGGAAAAAGACUGAGUUGAGAGAGAGUAG
Molecule: long non-coding RNA, 775 nt
Filed under: Nicotiana benthamiana
Lineage: Eukaryota; Viridiplantae; Streptophyta; Magnoliopsida; Solanales; Solanaceae
Description: long non-coding RNA (NBEN_LNC032805)
Source: RNAcentral